This 91-nucleotide transfer RNA is filed under the name Caudoviricetes sp. Its description in RNAcentral is "tRNA-Pro". It matches the Rfam family "tRNA". From Rfam's summary of the family: Transfer RNA (tRNA) molecules are approximately 80 nucleotides in length. Their secondary structure includes four short double-helical elements and three loops (D, anti-codon, and T loops). Further hydrogen bonds mediate the characteristic L-shaped molecular structure. tRNAs have two regions of fundamental functional importance: the anti-codon, which is responsible for specific mRNA codon recognition, and the 3' end, to which the tRNAs corresponding amino acid is attached (by aminoacyl-tRNA synthetases). tRNAs cope with the degeneracy of the genetic code in two manners: having more than one tRNA (with a specific anti-codon) for a particular amino acid; and 'wobble' base-pairing, i.e. permitting non-standard base-pairing at the 3rd anti-codon position. Lineage: Duplodnaviria; Heunggongvirae; Uroviricota; Caudoviricetes. The record is from RNAcentral.
GGCAUAGUAGCUCAAUGGGAGAGCCUUCUGCUUCGGAAGGGUAUAUGCAGACGAAACGCCUUCGAUGUUGGUUCAAGUCCAACCUGUGCCA